GCCGGAGUGACGGAAUUGGUAGACGUGCAGCACUCAAAAUGCUGUGUCCUAUGGGCGUGUGGGUUCGAGUCCCACCUCCGGCA
Molecule: transfer RNA, 83 nt
Filed under: Acidobacteriota bacterium
Lineage: Bacteria; Pseudomonadati; Acidobacteriota
Also listed under: 3 other names
Description: Acidobacteria bacterium tRNA-Leu
Rfam family: tRNA
About the family: Transfer RNA (tRNA) molecules are approximately 80 nucleotides in length. Their secondary structure includes four short double-helical elements and three loops (D, anti-codon, and T loops). Further hydrogen bonds mediate the characteristic L-shaped molecular structure. tRNAs have two regions of fundamental functional importance: the anti-codon, which is responsible for specific mRNA codon recognition, and the 3' end, to which the tRNAs corresponding amino acid is attached (by aminoacyl-tRNA synthetases). tRNAs cope with the degeneracy of the genetic code in two manners: having more than one tRNA (with a specific anti-codon) for a particular amino acid; and 'wobble' base-pairing, i.e. permitting non-standard base-pairing at the 3rd anti-codon position.
Source: RNAcentral